CCUACGGGUGGCAGCAGUGAGGAAUAUUGGUCAAUGGACGAGAGUCUGAACCAGUCAAGUAGCGUGAAGGAUGACUGCCCUAUGGGUUGUAAACUUCUUUUAUAUGGGAAUAAAAUGUUCCACGUGUGGGGUUUUGUAUGUACCAUAUGAAUAAGGAUCGGCUAACUCCGUGCCAUCAGCCGCGGUAAUACGGAGGAUCCGCGCGUUAUCCGGAUUUAUUGGGUUUAAAGGGAGCGUAGGUGGAUUGUUAAGUCAGUUGUGAAAGUUUGCGGCUCAACCGUAAAAUUGCAGUUGAAACUGGCAGUCUUGAGUACAGUAGAGGUGGGCGGAAUUCGUGGUGUAGCGGUGAAAUGCUUAGAUAUCACGAAGAACUCCGAUUGCGAAGGCAGCUCACUGGACUGCAACUGACGCUGAGGCUCGAAAGUGUGGGUAUCAAACAGGAUUAGAUACCCCAGUAGUC
This 460-nucleotide ribosomal RNA is filed under the name uncultured bacterium. RNAcentral describes it as "partial 16S ribosomal RNA". It matches the Rfam family "Bacterial small subunit ribosomal RNA", at positions 338 to 795 of the family's 1533-position model. The record is from RNAcentral.